Molecule: ribosomal RNA, 492 nt
Filed under: uncultured bacterium
Lineage: Bacteria
Description: partial 16S ribosomal RNA
Rfam family: Bacterial small subunit ribosomal RNA
Source: RNAcentral
AGUGAACGCUGGCGGUAGGCCUAACACAUGCCAGUCGAACGGCAGCACAGUAAGAGCUUGCUCUUACGGGUGGCGAGUGGCGGACGGGUGAGGAAUACAUCGGAAUCUACUUUUUCGUGGGGGAUAACGUAGGGAAACUUACGCUAAUACCGCAUACGACCUACGGGUGAAAGCAGGGGAUCUUCGGACCUUGCGCGAUUGAAUGAGCCGAUGUCGGAUUAGCUAGUUGGCGGGGUAAAGGCCCACCAAGGCGACGAUCCGUAGCUGGUCCGAGAGGAUGAUCAGCCACACUGGAACUGAGACACGGUCCAGACUCCUACGGGAGGCAGCAGUGGGGAAUAUUGGACAAUGGGCGCAAGCCUGAUCCAGCCAUACCGCGUGGGUGAAGAAGGCCUUCGGGUUGUAAAGCCCUUUUGUUGGGAAAGAAAAGCAGCAGGUUAAUACCCCGCUGUUCUGACGGUACCCAAAGAAUAAGCACCGGCUAACUUCGUG